UAUAAUUUGAAACGCUAGGGA
Molecule: non-coding RNA, 21 nt
Organism: Caenorhabditis elegans
Lineage: Eukaryota; Metazoa; Nematoda; Chromadorea; Rhabditida; Rhabditidae
Source: Ensembl